This 543-nucleotide ribosomal RNA is filed under the name uncultured archaeon. Its description in RNAcentral is "bacterial SSU rRNA". It matches the Rfam family "Bacterial small subunit ribosomal RNA", at positions 509 to 1050 of the family's 1533-position model. The record is from RNAcentral.
CAGCCGCCGCGGUAAUACGUAGGGGGCAAGCGUUAUCCGGAAUCACUGGGUGUAAAGGGUGCGUAGGCGGCGAUAUAAGUCAGAUGUGAAAAACCGAUGCUCAACAUCGGUCCUGCAUUUGAAACUGUAUGGCUAGAGUACAGGAGAGGAAAGUGGAAUUCCUAGUGUAGCGGUGAAAUGCGUAGAUAUUAGGAGGAACAUCAGUGGCGAAGGCGACUUUCUGGACUGUAACUGACGCUGAGGCACGAAAGCGUGGGUAGCGAACAGGAUUAGAUACCCUGGUAGUCCACGCUAUAAACGAUGAGUGCUAGGUGUCGGGGGUCAAACCUCGGUGCCGCCGUAAACACAUUAAGCACUCCACCUGGGGAGUACGUUCGCAAGAAUGAAACUCAAAGGAAUUGACGGGGGCCCGCACAAGCGGUGGAGCAUGUGGUUUAAUUCGAAGCAACGCGAAGAACCUUACCAAAGCUUGACAUCCUGUUGCCCGGUCCAUAAAAGGAUCCUUUUACUUCGGUAAACAACAGAGACAGGUGGUGCAUGGCC